RNAcentral lists this ribosomal RNA (253 nucleotides) under uncultured bacterium. RNAcentral's name for it is "partial 16S ribosomal RNA". It matches the Rfam family "Bacterial small subunit ribosomal RNA", at positions 524 to 776 of the family's 1533-position model. The record is from RNAcentral.
UACGGAGGGGGCUAGCGUUGUUCGGAAUUACUGGGCGUAAAGCGCACGUAGGCGGACCAGUUAGUUGGGGGUGAAAUCCCGGGGCUCAACCCCGGAACUGCCUCCAAAACUGCUGGUCUGGAGGUCGAGAGAGGUGAGUGGAAUUCCGAGUGUAGAGGUGAAAUUCGUAGAUAUUCGGAGGAACACCAGUGGCGAAGGCGGCUCACUGGCUCGAUACUGACGCUGAGGUGCGAAAGCGUGGGGAGCAAACAGG